UGACGUUUCCCAUUCACUUUUCAGUUGUAGCGCAACAGCAGAGGACUACGGAACAAUAUUUCGGACUAACUUUGAUCGAAAACCACUAAAUUAAUGUCUCAUAUGGCUACAUUUCUUAAGAAGUGUGGGUUUUAUUUCGCCUUCGACGAUAUUAUCGGACUUUUUUUUUUCGGUUCAAGCGAAGUUAUUAGCAGUUGAAAGCAAAGCUCGCGAAUAGCCUAUACUCGCUAGAAAUAGUCUAGCCGAUAUCUAAAAUGAAUAAUCUUAUUUUGUGGUUCAAUUAUAAUUUAAAGCUGAUUUCAAGGAGAAUGUGUAUAGAUUUACUUGUUUUUUUGUUCGUCCAGGAGACGGAGCAGGCAUGGAAUUCCAAUUGCUGCAUGCGCAAGUCUGGAAAAUGGAAGUCACCGCCUCCAGGAGGUUGAUCGGUUGGAAAUUCUCCAUGCAGUUUUCCCUUUCCCAAUUCCAGAUAAAACUACUUAACACAAUUAAUAUGUUCAAACUCAUAUGGAAAACUAACAGCGAAACAAAUGGCUGUUUACAAUGCAUACAAUGCAGAGUUGGACUUGUAUGUUUCUUAUUAUUUGCAGUAUGCAGAGCGUGUGUCAUUGCUGUGACUGGAUCCGACACCACUACCGUCACUUGAGUGCAUAAUUCCAUUCUCUGCUGGACCAGAUGGGAGGAGAUAUCACAAAGCAGAAUGCCCCUGUCCUUUUCUCAACAUCACUUUACAGACCCAUAGAUGCCGAGUUUGAGGACAAAGUCAGAUUCCGGAACGAGGUCAUCUAUAAAAUCACAAAACUGUUUGAUGGGAAUAAGAAGUCCGUCACCUGGGACAAGAAAAACCUGGACGAUUUACUUAAAAUUCUAGAAAACUAAUUUGAAAACCUUAAUUCCUGUGUAAGUAACGGGUCUAUUUAAAGUAUAAUCCCUGUUCAUGUCAGGGUUGUCCAAUCCCGUUUAUGUUGAGUUACCCUCCUGUAAGUUUUCGCUCCAACCCCAGUUGUAACUAACCUGGUUAAGUUUAUCAACUACCUAAUUAAUCAGGUGUGGUAGAUUAGGGUUGGAGUGAAAACCUACAGGAAUGUAGUUCUCCAGGAACAGGGUUGGAGAGCCCUGGUUUAGCUGUAGCCUACUGACUCUACAAGUGGAGAAAUGGACUUAUAAAGGACAUAUAAUGUGUUCAACUUUUUCCACAUUUUGUUACCUUACAGACUUUUUCUAAAAUUGAUUAAAUGGAU
This is a long non-coding RNA of Oncorhynchus masou masou (cherry salmon), 1238 nucleotides long. RefSeq lists it as uncharacterized. NCBI's taxonomy places the organism in Eukaryota, Metazoa, Chordata, Actinopteri, Salmoniformes, Salmonidae. The transcript is spliced from 3 exons. The record is from RefSeq and is a predicted model, not a curated record.